UGAACGCUAGCUACAGGCUUAACACAUGCAAGUCGAGGGGCAUCAGGAAGAAAGCUUGCUUUCUUUGCUGGCGACCGGCGCACGGGUGAGUAACACGUAUCCAACCUGCCCUUUACUCGGGGAUAGCCUUUCGAAAGAAAGAUUAAUACCCGAUAGCAUAAUGAUUCCGCAUGGUUUCAUUAUUAAAGGAUUCCGGUAAAGGAUGGGGAUGCGUUCCAUUAGGUUGUUGGUGAGGUAACGGCCCACCAAGCCUUCGAUGGAUAGGGGUUCUGAGAGGAAGGUCCCCCACAUUGGAACUGAGACACGGUCCAAACUCCUACGGGAGGCAGCAGUGAGGAAUAUUGGUCAAUGGGCGCUAGCCUGAACCAGCCAAGUAGCGUGAAGGAUGAAGGCUCUAUGGGUCGUAAACUUCUUUUAUAUAAGAAUAAAGUGCAGUAUGUAUACUGUUUUGUAUGUAUUAUAUGAAUAAGGAUCGGCUAACUCCGUGCCAGCAGCCGCGGUAAUACGGAGGAUCCGAGCGUUAUCCGGAUUUAUUGGGUUUAAAGGGAGCGUAGGUGGACUGGUAAGUCAGUUGUGAAAGUUUGCGGCUCAACCGUAAAAUUGCAGUUGAUACUGUCAGUCUUGAGUACAGUAGAGGUGGGCGGAAUUCGUGGUGUAGCGGUGAAAUGCUUAGAUAUCACGAAGAACUCCGAUUGCGAAGGCAGCUCACUGGACUGCAACUGACACUGAUGCUCGAAAGUGUGGGUAUCAAACAGGAUUAGAUACCCUGGUAGUCCACACAGUAAACGAUGAAUACUCGCUGUUUGCGAUAUACAGUAAGCGGCCAAGCGAAAGCAUUAAGUAUUCCACCUGGGGAGUACGCCGGCAACGGUGAAACUCAAAGGAAUUGACGGGGGCCCGCACAAGCGGAGGAACAUGUGGUUUAAUUCGAUGAUACGCGAGGAACCUUACCCGGGCUUAAAUUGCAGUGGAAUGAUGUGGAAACAUGUCAGUGAGCAAUCACCGCUGUGAAGGUGCUGCAUGGUUGUCGUCAGCUCGUGCCGUGAGGUGUCGGCUUAAGUGCCAUAACGAGCGCAACCCUUAUCUUUAGUUACUAACAGGUUAUGCUGAGGACUCUGGAGAGACUGCCGUCGUAAGAUGUGAGGAAGGUGGGGAUGACGUCAAAUCAGCACGGCCCUUACGUCCGGGGCUACACACGUGUUACAAUGGGGGGUACAGAAGGCAGCUAGCGGGUGACCGUAUGCUAAUCCCAAAAGCCUCUCUCAGUUCGGAUCGAAGUCUGCAACCCGACUUCGUGAAGCUGGAUUCGCUAGUAAUCGCGCAUCAGCCACGGCGCGGUGAAUACGUUCCCGGGCCUUGUACACACCGCCCGUCAAGCCAUGGGAGCCGGGGGUACCUGAAGUACGUAACCGCAAGGAUCGUCCUAGGGUAAAACUGGUGACUGG
Molecule: ribosomal RNA, 1445 nt
Filed under: uncultured organism
Description: SSU rRNA
Rfam family: Bacterial small subunit ribosomal RNA
Source: RNAcentral